This 253-nucleotide ribosomal RNA is filed under the name uncultured bacterium. RNAcentral's name for it is "partial 16S ribosomal RNA". It matches the Rfam family "Bacterial small subunit ribosomal RNA", at positions 524 to 776 of the family's 1533-position model. The record is from RNAcentral.
UACGGAGGGUGCAAGCGUUGUCCGGAUUUAUUGGGUUUAAAGGGUGCGUAGGCGGCUAUUUAAGUCAGCGGUGAAAGACAUCGGCUCAACCGAUGCAGUGCCAUUGAUACUGGAUAGCUUGAGUGUUGGAGGGGUACAUGGAAUUGAUGGUGUAGCGGUGAAAUGCAUAGAUACCAUCAGGAACACCGAUAGCGAAGGCAUUGUACUGGCCAACAACUGACGCUGAGGCACGAAAGCAUGGGGAGCGAACAGG